Molecule: ribosomal RNA, 208 nt
Filed under: uncultured bacterium
Lineage: Bacteria
Description: partial 16S ribosomal RNA
Rfam family: Bacterial small subunit ribosomal RNA
Source: RNAcentral
GCGCGUAGGCGGCCUGGUCAGUCGGUUGUGAAAGCCCGGGGCUCAACCUCGGAACUGCACCCGAUACGGCCAGGCUAGAGGCCGGAAGAGGAGGGUGGAAUACCCAGUGUAGAGGUGAAAUUCGUAGAUAUUGGGUGGAACACCGGUGGCGAAAGCGGCUCUCUGGUCCGGACCUGACGCUGAGGCGCGAAAGCGUGGGGAGCAAACA